UCUCUGAGGGUGCUGCGGCCGCCAGGCUCCGUGGGUUUUGGUUCAGGCGCCCAGUCACUUCACCCAGGCCUCGGUGUCUUUCAGAAAGGACAGCUUUCAGAAAGGGGAGACAGCCUGGACAUGGUGGCUCACACCCAUAACCUCAGCACUUUGUGAGGCCAAGGUGGAAGGAUCACUUGAGGCCAGGGGUUCAAGACCAGCCUGGGCAAAGUAGUGUGCCCAAGGAUGUUGUAGAACUCUGUCUAGCCACAGUGUGGGGAUGGGGAGCUCCCGCCUACAGACUCUGUUGCUUUCUGGCUUGG
RNAcentral lists this long non-coding RNA (302 nucleotides) under Pongo abelii (Sumatran orangutan). Its description in RNAcentral is "lincRNA". The record is from RNAcentral. Lineage: Eukaryota; Metazoa; Chordata; Mammalia; Primates; Hominidae.